AGCCCGACAAAUUUAUCAAACUGAUCGAAACCAGAACCCAACACUCAGCUCGCUCUCGCUCUCAAACUAUGUCGAUCUUCUCUUAAACCAAAACCCGACAACAGAACUUCUCUCUUCUGAUUCUCAAACCAAAAUCAUCGAAUUGAAAUUCCAGGUCCUAAUCCAACAUCAAUCUCUUCUAAUCCAAUAUCGAACUGAAAACCCAGAAAAAAUUUUCCCAUCUCGCCUCGCAUAUAUAGAAAACCUCAUUCCAGCCAAAACAUAUCGGUCUCAAUCCCUAUCGUGUUGCUGGCGGAGGCUAGGCGGUUUAGACGGAGGAUAGGCGGAUCGACCUCCAACCCAGUCUCGGCGACGACCUCGUCUUGUUCUCUCGGCGUCGACCCAGUCUCGGCAGAACACAAAGGCCAGAUAGCCAGAACCCAAAGCUAGAGAGAGAGAGAGAGAGAGAAACUCAUACUAUGUAACUCUGACAACACAUACUGGAUUCCAGAGUCUCGUUCAGUCCAGAUUUUCCAAAUUUCACAGCAAAACCCAAUCUUUCUCUCAUCAACGUCAGGCAAGAUCACCUUUUUAUUUACUUUCUCUAUCUGUAUCUAUAUGUUUUUGGCUUAUAUGUAUACGUAUGCUAUGCGUUCGGCCACUUUGGGAUUUUGUAUUUGCGAGUUAUGAAUGUAAUGCUGGAUUUUCUUUCAAUUUUAAUUGGCCCAAUUUGUAGAAACAGAGGAUUAGUCUCAGUGCAUCAAUUUGAUCCUAACACCUUGUUUGGUUCCCGGAAAGUUUUUGUUGCUGGAAAGCUUUAAUGGCGUCUUUGCAACCAUACAGGAUUACAGGGAAAAAAAAAAAAGGAAAGAUCUUUUUAUGUUUCUGGGGAUGAAGAACAACUGGAAUUUGAAACAUAAUUUAUUAAAAAAUUUUGUUGCUUUUGGUACUUGUCGGUGCAGAGGGUAUGAAUUCUAAGGUUGUAUGUUUUUGAGGAGAAAGCUUUGUGUUGAUAGUUUAUUUUUGUUGCUGAGAUAAUGCUGGGUACCAGAAGUUUAACUCCUUUGUCUUUUUGAUUAAAACUUGGGGCCCAGUGAAUGGAUUAAAAUAAAUCUCUCUUGCAAUGUAGGUGUAAUUUUUGUUUAACUUGAGUUUAAUUGCAGACGAGUCUUUAGAGAGAAUUGUGUGAUUUAGUGUGAUGUGGUUUGAGGUUCUAAAAGGAAAAUGUUGCUGCUUGUAGCUUUUAGAGAGUUUGGCUUGACUAAAUAUGACAUGGUUUGGUUUGUUUCUUGUUUUAUAAAUUGUUCUCUUGAUUGUGCUAUUGCGCAGAUACUGCAUCACUGUUUCCUACAAGGCAUGCCUAGGGAGAUCUUCAAACGUAAGAGCCUUGAUAUUUUAUUUAAAUAUUUCCAAUGAUCAUUAUUAGUUCCUUGUACAAACCCUUCUAAUUGGGUUGAUAGAGGAAAAAAAUUAUGUUAAACAUUUAUGCACUUUAUAGACUUCUGAAUUGUGAUACAGAAUAUAUAUUCCCCACGCAAUUGAACCUGACUUCAACUCAAGCCCAGAGGCACAAUAUUCCAACAAGACAUCAUCAGAUGUAUCCUAUCAAGAUUUACUCGGUUUCUAGAAAAUUCUUUCAAUUUUAUAAGGCUAGUAGAAAGACUUACUUCAACAACCUGAUUUGGCCUGGUAGGCAUUACUUUGAUGCAUCUAUUAAUCCGCUUCUUUUCAUGUUUGCAUUAGUAGUUGUUAUACUUUGCGGCACAUAUUUCAGUUAUACUAUGGUUGAGGUU
This is a long non-coding RNA of Rosa rugosa (rugosa rose), 1772 nucleotides long. RefSeq lists it as uncharacterized. Lineage: Eukaryota; Viridiplantae; Streptophyta; Magnoliopsida; Rosales; Rosaceae. The transcript has 3 exons. The record is from RefSeq and is a predicted model, not a curated record.